GGCGUAUUGGUGGGCAUUGGCUCACGGGUGGCAACGCGUGGCGGGUAGCUUUUGGGGCGGAACAUCUGAGGGGACUGGGCCUAAUAGGGGAUAGCCGCUGUCGGGGAAAGAUGUAUCGCCCAAAGAGGGGCCCGCGUCUGAUUAGCUAGUUGGUGAGGUAAUGGCUCACCGAGGCGACGAUCAGUAUCUGGUCUGAGAGGAUGAUCGGCCGCGUUGGGACUGAGACACGGCCCAAACUCC
This 240-nucleotide ribosomal RNA is filed under the name uncultured Rhodopseudomonas sp. RNAcentral's name for it is "partial 16S ribosomal RNA". It matches the Rfam family "Bacterial small subunit ribosomal RNA", at positions 79 to 339 of the family's 1533-position model. Lineage: Bacteria; Pseudomonadati; Pseudomonadota; Alphaproteobacteria; Hyphomicrobiales; Nitrobacteraceae. The record is from RNAcentral.